CAAGUCGAACGGCAGCACGGGUGCUUGCACCUGGUGGCGAGUGGCGAACGGGUGAGUAAUACAUCGGAACGUACCUUAUCGUGGGGGAUAACGCAGCGAAAGUUGCGCUAAUACCGCAUACGCCCUGAGGGGGAAAGCGGGGGACCGUAAGGCCUCGCGCGAUUAGAGCGGCCGAUGUCUGAUUAGCUUGUUGGUGAGGUAAAAGCUCACCAAGGCGAUGAUCAGUAGCUGGUCUGAGAGGACGAUCAGCCACACUGGGACUGAGACACGGCCCAGACCCCUACGGGAGGCAGCAGUGGGGAAUUUUGGACAAUGGGGGCAACCCUGAUCCAGCAAUGCCGCGUGAGUGAAGAAGGCCUUCGGGUUGUAAAGCUCUUUUGUCAGGGAAGAAACAGCAGCUCUAACACAGACUGCGAAUGACGGUACCCGAAGAAUAAGCACCGGCUAACUACGUGCCAGCAGCCGCGGUAAUACGUAGGGUGCGAGCGUUAAUCGGAAUUACUGGGCGUAAAGCGUGCGCAGGCGGUUAUACAAGACAGGCGUGAAAUCCCCGGGCUUAACCUGGGAAUGGCGUCUGUGACUGUAUAGCUAGAGUGUGUCAGAGGGGGGUGGAAUUCCACGUGUAGCAGUGAAAUGCGUAGAUAUGUGGAGGAACACCAAUGGCGAAGGCAGCCCCCUGGGAUAACACUGACGCUCAUGCACGAAAGCGUGGGGAGCAAACAGGAUUAGAUACCCUGGUAGUCCACGCCCUAAACGAUGCUGACUAGUUGUUGGGAAUUUACAUUCUCAGUAACGUAGCUAACGCGUGAAGUCAGCCGCCUGGGGAGUACGGUCGCAAGAUUAAAACUCAAAGGAAUUGACGG
This 863-nucleotide ribosomal RNA is filed under the name uncultured bacterium. RNAcentral's name for it is "bacterial SSU rRNA". It matches the Rfam family "Bacterial small subunit ribosomal RNA", at positions 58 to 916 of the family's 1533-position model. The record is from RNAcentral.